Capra hircus (goat) is the source of this 3240-nucleotide long non-coding RNA. The record is from Ensembl. Lineage: Eukaryota; Metazoa; Chordata; Mammalia; Artiodactyla; Bovidae.
AUGCAUUUAACCCACACUGCUUCGUUUUGGCCCAGAUUCUUCUCUAUGUCUCUUCUUGUGUCCCUGAGGAACCCCGGGGGAAAUAAGGCACAUUCCACUUCAAGUCACUCUCCCUCCUGCCAGUCACUUCCCCUCGGCACGUUUGUUUUGCUGGAGGCCUGCUUUCUUCCCUGGGAACCCGGAGGAACAAUGAGCGGUGGCCACGCCCCCGGGGCCCCGCCCCCAUCCUGGACCGCUUCCUCAGCUUCCCCUUGCUCACGCUUGACCCCGGCGGAGACUGCGUUGGAGGCCCCUCCAGCUCGCCUACCAAGUGCGUCAAUCACUUGUUUACUUGCUUUUCCUGCCUGGCUCUGGGGGUUCCGCUGGCUAUUUCUUCCCUCUGGAGGUUCUCCUGAGGUCUUCGGUUACCCACCAAGCAUGGACCCUGCUGGCUUCAUAAUCUCAGUUGCCCAUGUUGACUAAGGGUCUACAAUGGGCCAAGUACUGGUAGGUACUUCCUAUCUGCUCACCUCGUCUUGAUUAUCUGCCUGGACAAAUGAAGAAAUAGAGGGACAAGAGCCUUUCCUCAGGCAAAAUAAAAAUUAGAAGCUAGGGGGUUUUGUUUUGCUUCUGCAGCUCAAUGAAUUGUCACAGUCAUUACUCAUGGAGCUGCCACGAAGUCAGGAGAGAAGCUUGUCAACAUCCUUUCCCCCUCUAAUCACUACCUCCUCCCUCCCUACUUCUCUGCCACCUCUUCUGCUUCAAACUUCAGCUUUAUCCCUGACUACAUACUACCUCCCUUAGCCUCAUGGAGCAAUUAAAAACUCAGGGACUUUCCUAUGACUGCACGUAUGUCAGAGCUGGGACCUGAACCCAUGCGUUUGAAGUCCCCUAUAGCUUGAUUUAUUUCUUCCUUUCUGCUUACCUACAUCUUUUCCAUCUGACAAGGUCGAUCGAAUCCAUGCUUCUCCACGCAGCCUGUUAGAACCCCCCUGUUCUCACUGAUCUUUUCCUGUACCUGGUGAGUUCCUUACUGCCUGCUUCACUGACAGGACAUUUAGAUGCAGAUACUGCCUGGCAUUGUUUAGCAUUUCACGUUCUUGUUUCAUCUUCCCUAUGAGUGGAAGCAUUUUUGUAAGCAUUUUUGGAGGUCACUUAACACCUUUUUAUAUAGACACUUGAACGUGGUCCACACAGAGGAGGUCUGAGGCUCUGAGGCUCUGGGCUCUGGGCUCUGAGGUCAGACUCAGGUUCAACUCCUGGUCUCACUAGUGGCUUGCUGUGUGGCGGUGAAUUACUUAACCUCUGCCUAAAUGCUUUCUUGAAGAGUUGUUGAGAAAAUUAAUUCACGGUGUAGCAUCACAGUGCCUGGCACACAUUAAUCAUUCUGCAAAGGUCAACUAUUACUGGAACUCGACAAGUAUCUAUUGUUGGUUGAUAGUGAGCUACUCAACGGAUUCUCAAGGUUAAAAAAAAUUAUUUUUAAAGAAAGGACUAAGAUAGAAAAUCUCUUUUCCAUAGGAUACAGGUCAAGAAAAACAAAACGCAGGUUGGAAGGAGGCCGGAUACUGGAUGGGCAUAGCCUCACUCCCCCUCCCUCAUGUUCACCUUACUAAAGAAGCAGUAAUGGCUCCCCAGCGUGCAGAGCACUGAAAUGACUAACAGCUGAGCAGGCAGCAACCAAGCAGAGCAGGGCCCUGGCUGUGUUCCCACCGCUAAGUCAUGCAGAAGAGGCCAUCUUUACCUCCUCCGAGCCUCCACAGCAGCUAAUGCUAUUAGGAUAAAAGAUGGGUCCAUUUGGGCCCUAAACCUUGAUGUUCAGGUACUCUACAAGGUCAGUGACUGGAGAGAAAAUGCAAAAGCUGAAGCAGGAGUUUCCAGAGAAGAGGCUGAGCAGCUGUCAAGAAUCAAGAAAUACACCACUCUGGGCAUGUAUGCAUAUUUUAACCAAACAGUCUAUUUCUUCAAAGGACUGCAAAGGGCAAAAGCUUGCCUUCCUUCUAACUUUAUUCCCACACAUCACAGGAGCAAGCUUGCCUGAAACAUAGCAGCUAUUGCUUUCUUUAUUCUCAAUUUGCAAAGAGAUUCUUCCCCAGAUACUUUCAGAAAAAAUUAAGGAGAGUUUGAGGAUGGGAUUGGCAUACAGAGUAUCUUUCCUAUAAUUCUGUGGGCUUUGUCUGAUCAUCUGUCCUGCAAGUUGUAGGAGGCAUUUCUCAGAGCAUCAAUGCUAAGCAAAAUAGAACUCAAAAUAGAACAAUGUGAGGCGUAUCUGGUGGGUGGAAAACUGUCAUAACCUGAGAUUUUGGAAAUUACAGGGAGUUAAGGAGAUGCAGAAGAGGGUAAUAAGGAUGUUUCAGAUAAUGGGAUCAGACAGGACUGACAGCAGAGACUGCUGGGCUCUUCUGGACCACAAGAUCCCUAUAGUUGGGUUGGGAAUGAGGGACACAAAAAGGCAAAACUCAAACCAGCAGUAGCUAUUAAACCAAAGCAAGUUCUGACCAUUAAGCCAAGAGCAGGGAGGGGCUCAUGUGCCAAUAUUUUCUAAUGCAAAUGCAAAAUGGACUAUCAUCAGAAAUAUUUAUUGUCAACAGCAAUGCCCAGGAAUUAUAUAACCUCAUCAACUUUCUUCCUCUGGCCUGUUUCCCCAUAUUUAAAUCUGAAGUCAUACUACUCCCCAGUCUCAGUUGGUGACCCUCCUUUGCUUCCUCAGACCUCCAUGUGUAAUUUUCUAUUAAUGUGUCUGCCUCUCCAACUAGACCAUAAACUCCUAUGGGAUGGGACUGUAUUUUAUUCCUCUGUGGCCUCAAAGCCUGGCACAGAACAUGGCUUGUAGCAGGUGUUCAAUCAACAUUUAUGGACUGAAUAGUCUCCAAAGUCCCAGGAGGACAGAAUCAUAGAAUGACUAGAUUCUGUCCUCCACAGAGUUCACAUGAAGUGUUGGCCUAGUUGCUUCCCUAGGAGCUGUCCGGAUCAGGCUACUUCAGUUGAAACACUGUGGCCUCCCUUCCCCUUCUUUUCUUUUCAGUUCAGUUCAGUUCAGUAGCUCAGUCAUGUCCAACUCUUUGUGACCCCAUGAGUCGCAGCACACCAAGCUUCCCUGUCCAUCACCAACUCCCGGAGUUUACCCAAACUCAUGUGCAUCAAGUCGGUGAUGCCAUCCAGCCAUCUCAUCCUCUGUUGUCCCCUUCUUCUCCUGCCCCCAAUCCCUCCCAGCAUCGGGGUCUUUUCCAAUGAGUCAACUCUUCACAUAAGGUGGCCAAA